GAUCUGUCUCCCCUCAGCCUUCUCUUUAUGAGCACCUUAGGCCUAGGAUCACUGGAUUCCACCAGAUUCCAACAUAAGUUGCUCUCUGAGUUGUUUUCUCCAGCGUGAACAUGGCAGCAGACACAGUAGAAGAAGAGUGCCUAGAGGCUGCAGAGGUGAGCCCGUGUGACCUGCCCGGUGGGCCAGAGACCCUGGCAGCAGAUCAGAUUAAGGACAGAGGAGAGGAGGCAAAUGCAGGCAAGAAGAAGUAGGAGGCCAAGAAGGAAUAUCCUGACCGCACCCCAGUUCCCUGUCUUGCUGAGUCUGAGACCUGGCCACAAUUCUGCUCUUGAGGUCCACGAGACAGACAACCCCAGGCCCUUAUAAUAAAGUCUCCAUCUUUUCUAGCCCUUCAAA
This is a non-coding RNA of Ictidomys tridecemlineatus (thirteen-lined ground squirrel), 396 nucleotides long. The record is from RefSeq and is a predicted model, not a curated record. NCBI's taxonomy places the organism in Eukaryota, Metazoa, Chordata, Mammalia, Rodentia, Sciuridae.